UUUAUAUUUAUAUUAUAUAACAGGUCUGUAUUCGUUUGCCGUUCAUGAAAAAAGGAACGUAAUUUUUAUAAACCAACUACUGAGUUGUUAUAAAGAGAAGUUGUAAUGUUUGUAUAUGUGGAUAUAAUUGUUAGCGUGAAUCAAGUGGUGGUCCAACGAUACAACUGGCGUCGCCUCUUGGUCCAGUGAUGGUCUACGUCUUAUGCUUACGGUGGAGAACUUCACUUCGUCCCCAAGGCCUUUCUCAGUUCGUGGAGUGAUUUGUCUGCUUAAUUUUUGUAAUAGCAAAGAGAUUGAACGGAUUUUGUAUUGAACAAUAUCAAAUUUUUAUUGUCAUUAAAUUAUUCACAGAAUUGUAGACUACAUAGUUUGAUAAUCCAACUACUAAGUUGUUAUAAAGGGAACUUGCAAUGUUUAUAAUUCAUUCUAGUGAAAAAAAGGCUUGGUCUGAAGUCUGAAUUCUACAAAGGAAUUUGCCAGGAAUAAUGCCAUUUAUUCUACUUCAAUGGCGCGACACCAAAACUGCCCCCGUGACCUUGUUUGUAAUUAUUAAUUACAGGGAUAGAUUUUAUAAUAGCCAGAGGUAUGUCGCAAUUUAUUUCUG
Molecule: long non-coding RNA, 604 nt
Organism: Drosophila hydei
Lineage: Eukaryota; Metazoa; Arthropoda; Insecta; Diptera; Drosophilidae
Exons: 3
Source: RefSeq, a predicted model, not a curated record